UAUCGUUAAGUUUCAAUCAGUCAUUUUAUCAAACACUUCGUGGUCAGAAGUUAUAUACUUACAUGUAGCCAGCCCUUGAUUGAUUAAGCUCGAAAUCUGUGAUCUUCUUAGUAGUAUUUGCUGUUUGAAGUCGAAUCUUGAUAAUGUGGAGUGUUAGAAGAAAAUUUGCCCUAUGUUUACUCUCUGUUGCAUCUGGUAACCACCUUAGUUCAGCAAAUAGUGUUAUAAAGCCUAUUAGGUUAUUGUCCCAUUGUUGUUAUAUGGUUAGUGAAUCUGAGUUGAGGGCUUCUGUCCGUAUUUUGAAAUCGACUAGUUUUCCGAUUUUGGUUUCUCAAUUUUCGUCCGUUACUGAAAGAAAUCAAGAUGGUUAUGCUCUAGAGAAGUGUGAUAAUGGGGUUAGCGGCAAUGAUGAAAAUAGGAGUGAGGAUGAUGAGGAUUAUGAUGAAAGCAAGGGUGGGCAGUUGGGCUUGAAGGAUGAGGAUUUUAAUAGGAAUGUAGGUGUUAUUAUGGAUGUUUUGUUAGCCCCACGAAGCAGUUGUUCGGUUGUGAAGUAUAAGCUUGAGCAGUGUAGUGUGGUUGUUUCGACGGAUUUGGUUGUGGAGGUUCUUUCUCGUGUACGUAAUGAUUGGGAAGUGGCGUAUACUUUCUUUAUGUGGGCUGGUAGGCAGUCAGGUUAUGCACAUUCUCUACGUGCGUACCAUUCUAUGAUUUCUAUUUUAGGGAAAAUGAGAAGAUUCGAUACAGCUUGGGGGUUGAUUGAGGAGAUGAAAGGUGGGAGAACUGGACCCUCUCUAGUGACUCCACAUACGUUGUUGAUAUUGAUUAGAAGGUAUUGUGCUGUGCAUGAUGUUGGAAAAGCUAUUAAUACUUUUUAUGCUCAUAAGCGGUUUAAAUUUGAGAUAGGAAUGGAGGAAUUCCAAAAUCUUUUAUCUGCUCUGUGUCGGUAUAAGAAUGUCAAAGAUGCUGAACACUUGCUCUUUUGCAACAAAGAUGUUUUUCGGCUCAAUACCAAGAGUUUUAAUAUAAUUCUUAAUGGAUGGUGUAACAUUAUGGGGAAUUCAAAGGAAGCAAAGAGAAUUUGGUGGGAGAUGCAUGAGAGAAAGAUUUUUAAAGACGUUGUAUCUUAUGCUAGCAUGAUGUCAUGCUAUUCGAAAGUUGGUAGACUCAAUGAUGUUCUCAGGCUCUUUAACCAGAUGAAAGCGCUGGAAAUUGUUCCAGAUAGAAAAGUUUACAAUGCUGUCAUUCACGCUCUUGCAAAAGGCAAGCUUGUGAAGGAAGCUUGCAAUCUAUUGAAAACAAUGGAAGAAGAAGGUAUUGCUCCAAAUGUUAUUACUUAUAACUCACUUAUUAUGCCUCUAUGCAAAGCCCGUAAAUUAGAUGAAGCGCGGGAGGUUUUUGAUGAGAUGUUACAAAGGGGCCUUGCACCUACCAUUCGAACUUACCAUGCUUUCUUUCGCAAUUUAAGGACAGCUGAAGAUGUGUUUGAGCUCUUAGAAAACAUGAACAAGGAAGGGUGCCGUCCCGGUCAUGACACUUUUAUAAUGUUAAUCAGAAAGUUUUGCCGUUGGCGCCAACUUGACAAUGUCUACAAGCUGUGGAAUCAGAUGAGUGAUUAUGGACUUGAUCCUGAUCGCAGUUCAUAUAUUGUUCUAAUCCAUGGGCUGUUUUUAAAUGGAAUGUUGGAGGAAUCAUACAAAUAUUAUCAAGAGAUGAAGGAAAAACAUUUAGUGCCAGAGCCAAAGAUAGAUGAGAUGCUUCAAACUUGGAUAGCUGGUAAACAAAAUGCAGACAAGCCCGCAGUUGAGUCAAAACAUGAUCAGGUAAGUCGUAGUCAGACAACAAAGGAUGCAAAAGCUCCCUCAGAGAAGGUUGAACGGAAUGUAGAUUUUCGCCGACAACCUGAAACUAAAAAAGUUGUGAGGGAAAGAGGAUAUUCAUUUUGGGAUGAUUAGAUCAAAGUUGAUAACUGAUGCUCUCCUAUGUUGCUAUAUGUUCUACAUAGGACUCCAUGAUUACGUAUGAGCGAAGCACAAUAAAGACAUCUCAAUAUCUCCUUUCAGCUGCCGGAAAAUUUAAUCUACAAUGCUUGUUUACGAUCAAGUAGAUCACCCUCACCAGAACAACAAUGCUCCUACGCAGCCCAAUGCCCGUCCCGAAACCGAGCCAUAUUCUUCACCU
Molecule: RNA transcript, 2178 nt
Organism: Daucus carota subsp. sativus
Lineage: Eukaryota; Viridiplantae; Streptophyta; Magnoliopsida; Apiales; Apiaceae
Gene name: ricin B-like lectin R40G2
Exons: 2
Source: RefSeq, a predicted model, not a curated record